RNAcentral lists this ribosomal RNA (2904 nucleotides) under Escherichia coli. RNAcentral describes it as "bacterial LSU rRNA". It matches the Rfam family "Bacterial large subunit ribosomal RNA". Lineage: Bacteria; Pseudomonadati; Pseudomonadota; Gammaproteobacteria; Enterobacterales; Enterobacteriaceae. The record is from RNAcentral.
UUAAGCGACUAAGCGUACACGGUGGAUGCCCUGGCAGUCAGAGGCGAUGAAGGACGUGCUAAUCUGCGAUAAGCGUCGGUAAGGUGAUAUGAACCGUUAUAACCGGCGAUUUCCGAAUGGGGAAACCCAGUGUGUUUCGACACACUAUCAUUAACUGAAUCCAUAGGUUAAUGAGGCGAACCGGGGGAACUGAAACAUCUAAGUACCCCGAGGAAAAGAAAUCAACCGAGAUUCCCCCAGUAGCGGCGAGCGAACGGGGAGCAGCCCAGAGCCUGAAUCAGUGUGUGUGUUAGUGGAAGCGUCUGGAAAGGCGCGCGAUACAGGGUGACAGCCCCGUACACAAAAAUGCACAUGCUGUGAGCUCGAUGAGUAGGGCGGGACACGUGGUAUCCUGUCUGAAUAUGGGGGGACCAUCCUCCAAGGCUAAAUACUCCUGACUGACCGAUAGUGAACCAGUACCGUGAGGGAAAGGCGAAAAGAACCCCGGCGAGGGGAGUGAAAAAGAACCUGAAACCGUGUACGUACAAGCAGUGGGAGCACGCUUAGGCGUGUGACUGCGUACCUUUUGUAUAAUGGGUCAGCGACUUAUAUUCUGUAGCAAGGUUAACCGAAUAGGGGAGCCGAAGGGAAACCGAGUCUUAACUGGGCGUUAAGUUGCAGGGUAUAGACCCGAAACCCGGUGAUCUAGCCAUGGGCAGGUUGAAGGUUGGGUAACACUAACUGGAGGACCGAACCGACUAAUGUUGAAAAAUUAGCGGAUGACUUGUGGCUGGGGGUGAAAGGCCAAUCAAACCGGGAGAUAGCUGGUUCUCCCCGAAAGCUAUUUAGGUAGCGCCUCGUGAAUUCAUCUCCGGGGGUAGAGCACUGUUUCGGCAAGGGGGUCAUCCCGACUUACCAACCCGAUGCAAACUGCGAAUACCGGAGAAUGUUAUCACGGGAGACACACGGCGGGUGCUAACGUCCGUCGUGAAGAGGGAAACAACCCAGACCGCCAGCUAAGGUCCCAAAGUCAUGGUUAAGUGGGAAACGAUGUGGGAAGGCCCAGACAGCCAGGAUGUUGGCUUAGAAGCAGCCAUCAUUUAAAGAAAGCGUAAUAGCUCACUGGUCGAGUCGGCCUGCGCGGAAGAUGUAACGGGGCUAAACCAUGCACCGAAGCUGCGGCAGCGACGCUUAUGCGUUGUUGGGUAGGGGAGCGUUCUGUAAGCCUGCGAAGGUGUGCUGUGAGGCAUGCUGGAGGUAUCAGAAGUGCGAAUGCUGACAUAAGUAACGAUAAAGCGGGUGAAAAGCCCGCUCGCCGGAAGACCAAGGGUUCCUGUCCAACGUUAAUCGGGGCAGGGUGAGUCGACCCCUAAGGCGAGGCCGAAAGGCGUAGUCGAUGGGAAACAGGUUAAUAUUCCUGUACUUGGUGUUACUGCGAAGGGGGGACGGAGAAGGCUAUGUUGGCCGGGCGACGGUUGUCCCGGUUUAAGCGUGUAGGCUGGUUUUCCAGGCAAAUCCGGAAAAUCAAGGCUGAGGCGUGAUGACGAGGCACUACGGUGCUGAAGCAACAAAUGCCCUGCUUCCAGGAAAAGCCUCUAAGCAUCAGGUAACAUCAAAUCGUACCCCAAACCGACACAGGUGGUCAGGUAGAGAAUACCAAGGCGCUUGAGAGAACUCGGGUGAAGGAACUAGGCAAAAUGGUGCCGUAACUUCGGGAGAAGGCACGCUGAUAUGUAGGUGAAGUCCCUUGCGGAUGGAGCUGAAAUCAGUCGAAGAUACCAGCUGGCUGCAACUGUUUAUUAAAAACACAGCACUGUGCAAACACGAAAGUGGACGUAUACGGUGUGACGCCUGCCCGGUGCCGGAAGGUUAAUUGAUGGGGUUAGCGGUAACGCGAAGCUCUUGAUCGAAGCCCCGGUAAACGGCGGCCGUAACUAUAACGGUCCUAAGGUAGCGAAAUUCCUUGUCGGGUAAGUUCCGACCUGCACGAAUGGCGUAAUGAUGGCCAGGCUGUCUCCACCCGAGACUCAGUGAAAUUGAACUCGCUGUGAAGAUGCAGUGUACCCGCGGCAAGACGGAAAGACCCCGUGAACCUUUACUAUAGCUUGACACUGAACAUUGAGCCUUGAUGUGUAGGAUAGGUGGGAGGCUUUGAAGUGUGGACGCCAGUCUGCAUGGAGCCGACCUUGAAAUACCACCCUUUAAUGUUUGAUGUUCUAACGUGGACCCGUAAUCCGGGUUGCGGACAGUGUCUGGUGGGUAGUUUGACUGGGGCGGUCUCCUCCUAAAGAGUAACGGAGGAGCACGAAGGUUGGCUAAUCCUGGUCGGACAUCAGGAGGUUAGUGCAAUGGCAUAAGCCAGCUUGACUGCGAGCGUGACGGCGCGAGCAGGUGCGAAAGCAGGUCAUAGUGAUCCGGUGGUUCUGAAUGGAAGGGCCAUCGCUCAACGGAUAAAAGGUACUCCGGGGAUAACAGGCUGAUACCGCCCAAGAGUUCAUAUCGACGGCGGUGUUUGGCACCUCGAUGUCGGCUCAUCACAUCCUGGGGCUGAAGUAGGUCCCAAGGGUAUGGCUGUUCGCCAUUUAAAGUGGUACGCGAGCUGGGUUUAGAACGUCGUGAGACAGUUCGGUCCCUAUCUGCCGUGGGCGCUGGAGAACUGAGGGGGGCUGCUCCUAGUACGAGAGGACCGGAGUGGACGCAUCACUGGUGUUCGGGUUGUCAUGCCAAUGGCACUGCCCGGUAGCUAAAUGCGGAAGAGAUAAGUGCUGAAAGCAUCUAAGCACGAAACUUGCCCCGAGAUGAGUUCUCCCUGACUCCUUGAGAGUCCUGAAGGAACGUUGAAGACGACGACGUUGAUAGGCCGGGUGUGUAAGCGCAGCGAUGCGUUGAGCUAACCGGUACUAAUGAACCGUGAGGCUUAACCUU